Molecule: long non-coding RNA, 322 nt
Filed under: Homo sapiens (human)
Lineage: Eukaryota; Metazoa; Chordata; Mammalia; Primates; Hominidae
Description: HSALNT0037149
Source: RNAcentral
ACUCAGUCAGUUGGAGUCUAAGACAUGAAAUGAAAUCAUUUUUACAGCUCAUAGCACAUAAAGAGAGAUAUAGAAUGUGGAGGGGAGAGUGUGGGACAAUACAGAGUUGGUAUAGCACCAUUGUCUGAGUGUCUACUGUGUGCUUUAUACCCUCCCAGCCUAAUGAGCGGGUGCCGGGCGCAGGAGUCAAAAUGUAUGCCGCCGAGACGACACCCACACACAGUAAAUAAAUGAAUAAAUUUAAGAAGUCAAAUGCUACUCAACUACCUCCUAAGAGCCCGCGGCCCGGGGGUUUUGACAGAACUUUAUUAGACACAUUGGG